UCCACACCGGAUAGCUCCCACGAGGAAUUUCUAAUCAGCAAAUUGCUAUUAAUGAGAUGAUGGAUGGAUGUUUACGACACUUAACACCACGCACAUCAAAAACUAUAGCUAAUUACGUUGGCACAUUAGUGAUCUUUUGAUGUCAGACUCUAAUACCUGCAUGCUAAUACGCCUGCGGAGAAAAAAAAAAAAGAAUCGCGGUUCUCAUGUUUCCCAGUGGAGGUGAUUUUCACCCCACUGACCCAGACGGUUACACCAUUAGCCAGAUGGACAACCAGCAGCAGUAUCCCAGGGCCCUAGAGCGUCUCUCCAUGGAGAUCUUACACCAAACUGUUUACUGUAUUUUUCUGCAGGGAGCGGCAACAGCGAACCCGUGAGGAGAUAAGAAAUGAAGGGUGUUAGCCAUCUAGUGGUCGAUGGCGGAAUGGCAGCCGAGAAGCACCACGCUGGAUCGAUUUGUCAAUCCAUUGCUAUGAGGAACCUAGGCCAGGUUGUAGACUGAAGGUGUUGUCAUGGAAAUACAGGGAUGGGUUCAGGGCUACCUUAUUUAGAAUGAUUAGACACCAUAACGCUAAUAACACAUGCAAUAUAAAAACCAUCAGAUUAAAAAAAAAAAAAAAAAAACCAUCGUUAAUUUAG
Molecule: long non-coding RNA, 639 nt
Organism: Paramormyrops kingsleyae
Lineage: Eukaryota; Metazoa; Chordata; Actinopteri; Osteoglossiformes; Mormyridae
Source: RefSeq, a predicted model, not a curated record